AUCCAGCUGACGAGUUUCAAAUCGGACGAAACACACGUCCUAGAU
RNAcentral lists this non-coding RNA (45 nucleotides) under Schistosoma mattheei. The record is from RNAcentral. Lineage: Eukaryota; Metazoa; Platyhelminthes; Trematoda; Strigeidida; Schistosomatidae.